AGCGGCGGAUGGGUGAGUAACACGUGGGGAACCUGCCCCUAAGUCUGGGAUACCAUUUGGAAACAGGUGCUAAUACCGGAUAAUAAAGCAGAUCGCAUGAUCAGCUUUUGAAAGGCGGCGUAAGCUGUCGCUAAGGGAUGGCCCCGCGGUGCAUUAGCUAGUUGGUAAGGUAACGGCUUACCAAGGCGACGAUGCAUAGCCGAGUUGAGAGACUGAUCGGCCACAUUGGGACUGAGACACGGCCCAAACCCCUACGGGAGGCAGCAGUAGGGAAUCUUCCACAAUGGACGCAAGUCUGAUGGAGCAACGCCGCGUGAGUGAAGAAGGUUUUCGGAUCGUAAAGCUCUGUUGUUGGUGAAGAAGGAUAGAGGUAGUAACUGGCCUUUAUUUGACGGUAAUCAACCAGAAAGUCACGGCUAACUACGUGCCAGCAGCCGCGGUAAUACGUAGGUGGCAAGCGUUGUCCGGAUUUAUUGGGCGUAAAGCGAGCGCAGGCGGAAAAAUAAGUCUAAUGUGAAAGCCCUCGGCUUAACCGAGGAACUGCAUCGGAAACUGUUUUUCUUGAGUGCAGAAGAGGAGAGUGGAACUCCAUGUGUAGCGGUGGAAUGCGUAGAUAUAUGGAAGAACACCAGUGGCGAAAGGCGGCUCUCUGGUCUGCAACUGACGCUGAGGCUCGAAAGCAUGGGUAGCGAACAGGAUUAGAUACCCUGGGUAGUCCAUGCCGUAACGAUGAGUGCUAAGUGU
RNAcentral lists this ribosomal RNA (744 nucleotides) under uncultured bacterium. RNAcentral describes it as "bacterial SSU rRNA". It matches the Rfam family "Bacterial small subunit ribosomal RNA", at positions 94 to 823 of the family's 1533-position model. The record is from RNAcentral.